This is a small nuclear RNA of Cimex lectularius (bed bug), 116 nucleotides long. RefSeq annotates it as U5 spliceosomal RNA. The transcript has a single exon. Lineage: Eukaryota; Metazoa; Arthropoda; Insecta; Hemiptera; Cimicidae. The record is from RefSeq and is a predicted model, not a curated record.
UUACUCUGGUCUCCCUUCAUAACGAAUAAAUUUUUCGCCUUUUACUAAAAAUUUCCGUGGAGGGAGACUCACUGAUAAGUCUGUAACUUAUUGGAUUUCUUAUACUUACUUAACUU